This 400-nucleotide ribosomal RNA is filed under the name phytoplankton environmental sample. RNAcentral's name for it is "partial small subunit ribosomal RNA". It matches the Rfam family "Eukaryotic small subunit ribosomal RNA", at positions 587 to 983 of the family's 1831-position model. The record is from RNAcentral.
AGCUCCAAUAGCGUAUAUUAAAGUUGUUGCAGUUAAAAAGCUCGUAGUUGGAUUUCUGGCGUCGCCGCCCGGUCGGCCUCGAAAGGGGUUCGCACUCGUUGGCGCGCGUCGCCAUCCUCGGGGGAAGGCCGCCUGGCAUUAAGUUGUCGGGCGGUCGACGCUCGUCGUUUACUGUGAACAAAUUAGAGUGUUCAAAGCAGGCUUAGGCCGUUGAAUACAUUAGCAUGGAAUAAUGAGAUAGGACUUUGGUGGUCUAUUUUGUUGGUUUGCACGCCGAAGUAAUGAUUAAUAGGGGCGGUUGGGGGUAUUCGUAUUCAAUUGUCAGAGGUGAAAUUCUUGGAUUUAUGGAAGACGAACUACUGCGAAAGCAUUUACCAAGGAUGUUUUCAUUAAUCAAGAA